This 654-nucleotide ribosomal RNA is filed under the name Bacillus anthracis (anthrax bacterium). RNAcentral describes it as "bacterial SSU rRNA". It matches the Rfam family "Bacterial small subunit ribosomal RNA", at positions 54 to 689 of the family's 1533-position model. The record is from RNAcentral. Lineage: Bacteria; Bacillati; Bacillota; Bacilli; Caryophanales; Bacillaceae.
AAUGCAGUCGAGCGAAUGGAUUAAGAGCUUGCUCUUAUGAAGUUAGCGGCGGACGGGUGAGUAACACGUGGGUAACCUGCCCAUAAGACUGGGAUAACUCCGGGAAACCGGGGCUAAUACCGGAUAACAUUUUGAACCGCAUGGUUCGAAAUUGAAAGGCGGCUUCGGCUGUCACUUAUGGAUGGACCCGCGUCGCAUUAGCUAGUUGGUGAGGUAACGGCUCACCAAGGCAACGAUGCGUAGCCGACCUGAGAGGGUGAUCGGCCACACUGGGACUGAGACACGGCCCAGACUCCUACGGGAGGCAGCAGUAGGGAAUCUUCCGCAAUGGACGAAAGUCUGACGGAGCAACGCCGCGUGAGUGAUGAAGGCUUUCGGGUCGUAAAACUCUGUUGUUAGGGAAGAACAAGUGCUAGUUGAAUAAGCUGGCACCUUGACGGUACCUAACCAGAAAGCCACGGCUAACUACGUGCCAGCAGCCGCGGUAAUACGUAGGUGGCAAGCGUUAUCCGGAAUUAUUGGGCGUAAAGCGCGCGCAGGUGGUUUCUUAAGUCUGAUGUGAAAGCCCACGGCUCAACCGUGGAGGGUCAUUGGAAACUGGGAGACUUGAGUGCAGAAGAGGAAAGUGGAAUUCCAUGUGUAGCGGUGAAAUGC